GGGGAAUAUUGGACUAUGGGCGAAAGCCUGAUCCAGCCAUGCCGCGUGUGUGAAGAAGGUCUUCGGAUUGUAAAGCACUUUAAGUUGUGAGGAAUGGCUGCAAGUUAAUACCUUGUAGUUUUGACGUUACCAACAGAAUAAGCACCGGCUAACUUCGUGCCAGCAGCCGCGGUAAUACGAAGGGUGCAAGCGUUAAUCGGAAUUACUGGGCGUAAAGCGCGCGUAGGUGGUUUGGUAAGAUGGAUGUGAAAUCCCCGGGCUCAACCUGGGAACAGCAUCCAUAACUGCCUGACUAGAGUACGGUAGAGGGUGGUGGAAUUUCCUGUGUAGCGGUGAAAUGCGUAGAGAUGUGGAGGAACACCAAUGGCGAAGGCAUCCCCCUGGGUCGAUACUGACGCUCAUGCACGAAAGCGUGGGGAGCAAACA
RNAcentral lists this ribosomal RNA (426 nucleotides) under uncultured Pseudomonadaceae bacterium. RNAcentral describes it as "bacterial SSU rRNA". It matches the Rfam family "Bacterial small subunit ribosomal RNA", at positions 356 to 774 of the family's 1533-position model. Lineage: Bacteria; Pseudomonadati; Pseudomonadota; Gammaproteobacteria; Pseudomonadales; Pseudomonadaceae. The record is from RNAcentral.